GAUAUUACGAUGGAAAGUCUUGUUUUAAAGGAUUUGCCCAACAAGGCGAUCUAUCCGCCCAUAGACGCAUACAUUCAGGAGAACGACCGCAUCAGUGUGGGAUUUGUUUCAAAGGGUUCAUCAAGAGCAGUGCAUUAACAUCACACAUGAAGCGGCACACGGAUAAAACAGUCUACGAUUCCAGCAAUACGAGUAUGACAAUCGUCAAAUAAAUUGAAAUGGAGUUUUGUUUGAAUCGUGUCUUUGCUACGGGAAAAUAAAUUAUUUUACACACC
This is a long non-coding RNA of Bradysia coprophila, 275 nucleotides long. RefSeq lists it as uncharacterized. The record is from RefSeq and is a predicted model, not a curated record. Lineage: Eukaryota; Metazoa; Arthropoda; Insecta; Diptera; Sciaridae.